RNAcentral lists this ribosomal RNA (253 nucleotides) under uncultured bacterium. Its description in RNAcentral is "partial 16S ribosomal RNA". It matches the Rfam family "Bacterial small subunit ribosomal RNA", at positions 524 to 776 of the family's 1533-position model. The record is from RNAcentral.
UACGUAGGGUGCAAGCGUUGUCCGGAAUUAUUGGGCGUAAAGAGCUCGUAGGCGGUUUGUCGCGUCUGCUGUGAAAACUCGGGGCUUAACCCCGGGCCUGCAGUGGGUACGGGCAGACUAGAGUGCGGUAGGGGAGACUGGAAUUCCCGGUGUAGCGGUGAAAUGCGCAGAUAUCGGGAGGAACACCGGUGGCGAAGGCGGUUCUCUGGGCAUUACCUGACGCUGAGGAGCGAAAGUGUGGGGAGCGAACAGG